GAAAUAACUUCAAUUCAGAAGAGCUGCUGGCUUUCUUAUACGAUUAUCUUCUGCGAAACAAACAAGCGUCACUUACCGUUUCUGAUCUUCGCCUUCCUCGUUACUUUCUCGCUUUUCAUAAAGUCGCGACGACGACGUUACUGUUUCCUCUCCUACUGAAAAACACCAUGCUGCUAACCAAUUUCCUGGAGGUUCUUUUAGAGUCGCGAUUCCUACUAUUUUCUCUGUACUAAAUGGUAGCAAUAACAGCAAAAUGUUUAAAAAAGGAUCCCACAGAGAUCCUCAAAGUACUAAAACAACUUAAAGCUAACGCAAUACAGACCAAGAAACUCCAAACAUCUCUAUAAUGCUAUAACUGUUUGGGAUUUUUUUGGUAUUCAAUAAUUCAAAACAUUCACGAUCUUGCGGCCUCUUCAACCUAGUACAGACCCAACGGAGUCCACUCCCAGAAAAAUAUAUUUAUUAUUUUUUUUAUAUUAAAAGAGAAAUUGGUAGUUGGACACGUAAGACAUCAUUACUUGAGCAAAACCCUUCGAAGCAAACCCUUUGAUGUUCGAAGAUAUCCUAUUCUUCGAGCAUCACCCACUAGAGCAUGUUUUUAGGACUAAAUGCUUGCUAGGCCUAUCUGAAGAUAUUGGCUUUCUGAAAAUAAAACUUAGACCAUAGGAAGAUAGAAUAUCUCUAGAGCCAUGCUCGUAGAUGGAUUUGGACAACUAAACCAGAAUGUUUAUAGUUUGCCAUGGCACUUCGAAGGCAGUUUUUCAUGGAAGAAAAAUUGGGAACUUGAUUGUUUCAUCAAGUUAAUUAAAAGUUCACAAUCCAAAAACCAGGAUGAACUAAAGAAAUAUAAUGUAAUAACGAAAAAUUAGAGCAAUUGUUCCCUCAGCAAGAUUGAGAAAGAGUAUCAGUCAUUCAAUGAUCAGCAUUAGCAUGGUUCAUAUUUAAGCAUCACGGGGAACAUCCAUCAAUUCAAGUUUAGUUUCAAUUACCAUAAACAAACCUUAAACUACUACAAGCCAACUGACAGCAAACAGGGCAUGGCCCAGCACACGAAGACAUGAAGUCAUUACAAAAUCUAUUGUUAAAAUAAAUGAAAAACAAGAUUUAAAGCAAAAUCUAAAAUUUAUGACACAGCAAAAACAUGAACUUUCAACAACAAGACAACUGAGUUAAACCAGCGUGGCCUUUCAAGGAUUUAAAGCAACCCCAGAAGGCUUAAAACACCAAAGAUACUAAAUCCAAGCACACAUAUUAUGACACGGACAACAUGUCACCUCAGUAACUUCAUGGCGCUGUUUUCAGUCAGUGUACGAUCAGUGAUACCACCGCAUUACGUAUGACGGGGAAAAUUAAUUCACAAAAAUUAAGAACAAAAAUAAGUAAGACCAUAAACCCAGAUGAGAAAUUUAGGUUAAAGUCAAUGUAAAAGCUCAGAUAAAUGUUGGAAAGAGUAAAUUCCCUGACCUUACAAAAAGGCCUCAUAAUGAGCUGGGAUUAUAAACAUUUAUCAUCAUAGCUAAGGCAAGCAAUCUGAAUUAAACAUCCAAAGAGAAAAAAAACGAGAAC
Populus euphratica (Euphrates poplar) is the source of this 1566-nucleotide long non-coding RNA. RefSeq lists it as uncharacterized. The transcript has 2 exons. NCBI's taxonomy places the organism in Eukaryota, Viridiplantae, Streptophyta, Magnoliopsida, Malpighiales, Salicaceae. The record is from RefSeq and is a predicted model, not a curated record.